Lytechinus pictus (painted urchin) is the source of this 1735-nucleotide long non-coding RNA. RefSeq lists it as uncharacterized. The record is from RefSeq and is a predicted model, not a curated record. Lineage: Eukaryota; Metazoa; Echinodermata; Echinoidea; Temnopleuroida; Toxopneustidae. The transcript has 2 exons.
AUCUUUUAACCUUUAUUACAUGGUUCAAAUCUGCUACACCCAUAAAGGUGCACAAAUGAGCAUAAUUGCGCUCAUUGGCACUCCUUAUUGUACCAACCCCUAAGGUUCAAAUUUGAACCUUCUUAGUGUUUUCAUCAAACCAUUUCAAGGUUGAAUGACUAGACCUUAUUUGCCUUUGAUUAGUAUUCUCAAUGCACUCAUGGAUAGAAUUCAUUUUUACACAGUUCUGAAAAUAGCCAGUGAAACUGUCCCAACACCCCUGUCAAAUAUAUUUGACAAAAUCUGUAAUGAUUAAAAUAUUUUUUUUAAAGAAGGAACUUCAGUUGUUUAUUCAAAAUGUAAAUAUGAAUUCAUUCUCAUAUGUCACUAUUAAAAAUUUUGUAUUCACUUUCCUAACAGUUGAACCACACAAAUGGUGAGAAGAGGUAGAAAUAAAGAGGGGGAUUGCAACUGGAAGGAGAUGGAAGUCCAGACACUCUGCCACUGUGUGCCAUUGAACAAGAAAUCUCUUUUAGUAUGAAGAUUAUUCAAGAGUCAAGACUGUUGAAGACGUGACGACAUGGACCUGGUUGCACAUGGCAAGGGAACUAUCUGGUUGUACCCUGAAGUAUUCGCUUUAAGAUUUGAAAAUUAGCAAAAGUACUAAUUUUCAUAUUUUCAGAGAUAAUAAUUAUCAUUAUAUUGACAUUGUGGAUAUCUUUUUAUGAUUGUUAUCAUAAAAUUAUUAUAAUGUUAAUGAUGAUAGGUCAUAAUAAUACAAAUGAAUUAUAAGUAGAAAAAAAGACAACCAAAAAUGAGGAGGAAAAGAAGAAGAUGAAGAAGAAAAAGAAGAGGAGGGGUGGAAGAGGAGAAAAGGAGAAGAAUAAAUAACAUCACUGUGAGUUCCUCUUCAUGAUAUUACAUAAAUAUUUGUCUCUUUUAAAUGAAAAUAUUUAUUAAGCAUAAAAAUAGGAUUUAGUUAUUCUUGUUUUUUAAGAUGUAUUAUUAUGUAUCAUGUUUGUAGUUGUACACUUGAUUGAGGUACAUGUAUUGUAUUCAUUUAGGAUAUAAAUAAUAUGUUUUAUUUGAAUCCAUGUACUGUACCUCUUUAAAGGACAAGUCCACCCCAACAAAAAGUUGAUUUGAAUAAAAAGAGAAAAAUCCAACAAGCAUAACACUGAAAAUUUCAUCAAAAUCGGAUGUAAAAUAAGAAAGUAAUGACAUUUUAAAGUUUUGCUUAAUUUCACAAAACAUUUAUAUGCACAUUCUGGUGGGUAUGCAAAUGAGGUGACUGAUGACGUCAUCCACUCACUAUUUCUUUGGUAUUUUAUAAUAUGAAAUAUGGAAUAUUCAAUUUUUCUCCUCAUUGUCAAGUGAAAGAACGAUUAAUUCCUCCCUGAACAUGUGGAAUGAGCAUUGUUUAAUACUAUAUGAUCAGUCAAGUUGUUCCUUAUUGUCAAAUCUAUGAAAAAAGAAGAAAUAUAGUAUAAUUCAAACAAUCAAAAACAAAAGAAAUAGUGAGUUAGGGACAUCAUCGACUGUCUCGUUUGAGUUGUGCAUACAAUGUUUUGUGAAAAAUAGCAAAACUUUAAAAUGUCAUAACUUUCUUAUUUUACAUCCGAUUUUGAUGAAAUUUUCAGCGUUUUGCUAGUUUGAUUUUUCUCUUUUUAUUUAAAUCAACAUUUUCUGGGGUGGAUUUGACCUUUGAAUCAUAUUUAUACAGUCAUGAUUAAAGGACAUGGGACAGGUAACAAGA